Molecule: long non-coding RNA, 724 nt
Organism: Thalassophryne amazonica
Lineage: Eukaryota; Metazoa; Chordata; Actinopteri; Batrachoidiformes; Batrachoididae
Exons: 3
Source: RefSeq, a predicted model, not a curated record
CGCCUCUCCUCUGCACAGGUCUAAAUCAUCUCAAUCUCACUUCUCUGACCUCGUCUCCAAACAGUCUUACUUGUGCUGUCUCUCAGAUAUGUUCAUUCAAAUUCCUGUUCAUCAUGAGUACCAAAGAAAAUUGCAGCAUCUUCAGCUCUGCCUCAUUUUUGUUAGUGCCACCCCCUAUAAGCCAUAAAACACAGCUAGUCUCUCAACCAUGACGUAAACUUUCCCUUUCACGCUUGUAGACACCCUUCCAUCACUAAUCUCUCUCCUCCACUUACUUUACCCUUCCUGCACUCUCCUCUUCAUCUCUCUACCACACUCUUUAUUACUUUUAACAUGGAUCCCAAGUAAAAAUACAAGCGUCAUCCUUAAAUACACACUCUACCAAAUCAUCUAACUCACUCCAGAGAUCUUCUUUCUCCUUCAACUCACAACCUACCUGUGGGGCAUAUGCACUGAUGACAUUCAUCAUCACCCAUUCUAUUUCCAACUUUACACUCAGCACCCUAUCAGACAUUCAUUUAACCUCCAACAUUCUCUUAAAAUACUCUUCCCAAACACCAUUUCUCCUCCAGUCCACACCAUGAUACAAGAACCUCCAAUGCUCCUGACCUCACUUCCCUUCCACUUGGUCUCUUGUGCUCAGCAAAUUCAAAUUUCAGAAUUUCACACUUCUAACUUUCAUCCUGUCCUUCUGUCCCUGGACACAUUCAAAGCUAAUUCUUCG